GACCCCAGGUCAGGCGGGGCCACCCGCUGAGUUUAAGCAUAUCAAUAAGCGGAGGAAAAGAAACUUACCAGGAUUCCCCUAGUAACGGCGAGCG
RNAcentral lists this ribosomal RNA (94 nucleotides) under Plukenetia penninervia. RNAcentral's name for it is "partial 26S ribosomal RNA". It matches the Rfam family "Eukaryotic large subunit ribosomal RNA", at positions 1 to 95 of the family's 3401-position model. The record is from RNAcentral. Lineage: Eukaryota; Viridiplantae; Streptophyta; Magnoliopsida; Malpighiales; Euphorbiaceae.